UACGUAGGGUGCAAGCGUUGUCCGGAAUUAUUGGGCGUAAAGAGCUCGUAGGCGGUUUGUCGCGUCUGCUGUGAAAGACCGGGGCUCAACUCCGGAUCUGCGGUGGGUACGGGCAGACUAGAGUGAUGUAGGGGGAGACUGGAAUUCCUGGUGUAGCGGUGAAAUGCGCAGAUAUCAGGAGGAACACCGAUGGCGAAGGCAGGUCUCUGGGCAUUAACUGACGCUGAGGAGCGAAAGCAUGGGGAGCGAACAGG
This 254-nucleotide ribosomal RNA is filed under the name uncultured bacterium. Its description in RNAcentral is "partial 16S ribosomal RNA". It matches the Rfam family "Bacterial small subunit ribosomal RNA", at positions 524 to 776 of the family's 1533-position model. The record is from RNAcentral.